UACGUAGGAUGCAAGCGUUAAUCGGAAUUACUGGACGUAAAGCGUGCGCAGACGGUUCUAUAAGACAGAUGUGAAAUCCCCGGGCUCAACCUGGGAACUGCAUUUGUGACUGUAGAGCUGGAAUACGGUAGAGAGGGAUGGAAUUCCGCGUGUAGCAGUGAAAUGCGUAGAUAUGCGGAGGAACACCGAUGGCAAAGGCAAUCCCCUGGACCUGUACUGACGCUCAUGCACGAAAGCGUGGGAAGCAAGCAGG
This 253-nucleotide ribosomal RNA is filed under the name uncultured bacterium. Its description in RNAcentral is "partial 16S ribosomal RNA". It matches the Rfam family "Bacterial small subunit ribosomal RNA", at positions 524 to 776 of the family's 1533-position model. The record is from RNAcentral.